RNAcentral lists this ribosomal RNA (603 nucleotides) under uncultured fungus. RNAcentral's name for it is "eukaryotic LSU rRNA". It matches the Rfam family "Eukaryotic large subunit ribosomal RNA", at positions 23 to 641 of the family's 3401-position model. The record is from RNAcentral. Lineage: Eukaryota; Fungi.
ACCCGCUGAACUUAAGCACAUCAAUAAGCGGAGGAAAAGAAACCAACAGGGAUUGCCCUAGUAACGGCGAGUGAAGCGGCAACAGCUCAAAUUUGAAAUCUGGCUCUUUUAGAGUCCGAGUUGUAAUUUGCAGAGGGCGCUUUGGCUUUGGCAGCGGUCCAAGUUCCUUGGAACAGGACGUCACAGAGGGUGAGAAUCCCGUACGUGGUCGCUGGCUAUUGCCGUGUAAAGCCCCUUCGACGAGUCGAGUUGUUUGGGAAUGCAGCUCUAAAUGGGAGGUACAUUUCUUCUAAAGCUAAAUAUUGGCCAGAGACCGAUAGCGCACAAGUAGAGUGAUCGAAAGAUGAAAAGCACUUUGGAAAGAGAGUCAAACAGCACGUGAAAUUGUUGAAAGGGAAGCGCUUGCAGCCAGACUUGCUUACAGUUGCUCAUCCGGGCUUUUGCCCGGUGCACUCUUCUGUAGGCAGGCCAGCAUCAGUUUGGGCGGUAGGAUAAAGGUCUCUGUCACGUACCUCUCUUCGGGGAGGCCUUAUAGGGGAGACGACAUACUACCAGCCUGGACUGAGGUCCGCGCAUCUGCUAGGAUGCUGGCGUAAUGGCUGU